UGACGGUGAUCUACUCCAAGAGGGGUGGCCGGUGGGAACACGACGGUGGGCAGCCACUCAUCAAGGGCGUCGCCGGCGCCGGCGUCGGCUACCUCUCGCACGCCAUGAACCUCUAUCUCAGAUGUAAGAACACCAUUGCCAUCUGCCAUACACAUUUGGGUCGCACAAGUGGCCAUCAGGUUUAGUUAACAAGUAACUACUAAGAAUACGAUGAAAUAGUGCACUGAGAUUGACUUUACCACAGAGCUAGGCAUCACCACUGGGUGUGCAAGAAAGAAGGCAUGGUGAUGAGGAUGUCCACGCACGUGCACCAACCGCGCCAACUAACUGGGAAUUCUACUAGAAUAAAGCUACAACACUAAGGCCACGGUUGGAGAUAAGAUAACAAAUCAUUGAUGAUGACCCAUCACAAGCACAAGCCUGUGCUGCUCCUAGUUGUAGGAUUUCGCUGCUGCACCUACAAGCUCAGCUUAUAAUUUCGGUGAAAAGACAAGAGCACAUGUGUCUUUUUUCAGCUUAUAAUAACGAAUCAUAUUUGACAUGGUUCUAGUCAUUUAGGGUUUUUCUUUUGAAGGGUCUCAUCAGCUUCCAUUAAUUGGCCCGGCAGACACAUACCAGCACUGCGUGUAUAAAGCGAGGGCAUGGUGAAUCUGCACAUCACAAAGCUAUACCACAGUACGAGUUGUACGACUACGGGUUGGAGAUAAACAGACCUAUACGAGAUGAUGACCCAUCACGAGCACAAACAGGAUGUGCUGCUCCAAGUUGUAGGAUCAUUGCUGCUGCUCGUACAAGCUCAUCAGCUCAU
This 808-nucleotide long non-coding RNA is filed under the name Setaria italica (foxtail millet). RNAcentral's name for it is "long non-coding RNA (SITA_LNC006349)". The record is from RNAcentral. Lineage: Eukaryota; Viridiplantae; Streptophyta; Magnoliopsida; Poales; Poaceae.